RNAcentral lists this long non-coding RNA (582 nucleotides) under Gossypium raimondii (Peruvian cotton). RNAcentral's name for it is "long non-coding RNA (GRAI_LNC008322)". Lineage: Eukaryota; Viridiplantae; Streptophyta; Magnoliopsida; Malvales; Malvaceae. The record is from RNAcentral.
AUUUCUUCCUCUUCGUCAUCAAGGGAUAGGGCUGCAAAGUCAGAUUCCAUGGUCGUUAUACGUGAAGAAUAGAAAGAGAAGAUUAUUCACAACACUGGAAAACUCAGCCGUCAAACCAAAAAACUAUUGAAAAAAAAGAAAACCUAGACUUCCCAGAAGGGCAGACAGAGACGAGCUAGGGUAGCAGACUUUUAUAAAAGACUUAAUAUAACAAUCGUAUUUAAGAGAUAAAAUUGCAACAUUUUAUCUGCUUAAAUCAAGAAUCUAUUUUAAAAAAUUAAUCUCUUAUUGGUUCAAUUUUUUUGUACAAAUAUUAUUAUUUUUUAAAGAGAAGUCUUUACGUCAAUGUUAUAGGCUAUUCAUAAACAUAAGAUAUUAUUUGUUAUUGCCUUUUGAAUUUAAAGUGUCAUAGAAACAAUUUUAGAUAUCUACAUGUAAAAGUACUAUCAACUCUUGGCAUUAGAAGGAAUAUUGCAUUUUGCCUCCUAUAUUAAAAAAUUGAUAAAUUAGCCCCUGUAUGUUACAAAAAUGUGUAAAUUAGUCAUUCCGUUAAAUUUUCAUCCAUAGUUGUUGCUAAGUGAU